AGAGUUUGAUCCUGGCUCAGAUUGAACGCUGGCGGCAUGCCUUACACAUGCAAGUCGAACGGCAGCACGGGAGCAAUCCUGGUGGCGAGUGGCGAACGGGUGAGUAAUACAUCGGAACGUGUCCAGUUGUGGGGGAUAGCCCGGCGAAAGCCGGAUUAAUACCGCAUACGACCUACGGGUGAAAGCGGGGGAUCGCAAGACCUCGCGCUAUUGGAGCGGCCGAUGUCAGAUUAGCUAGUUGGUGGGGUAAAGGCCUACCAAGGCGACGAUCUGUAGCUGGUCUGAGAGGACGACCAGCCACACUGGGACUGAGACACGGCCCAGACUCCUACGGGAGGCAGCAGUGGGGAAUUUUGGACAAUGGGGGCAACCCUGAUCCAGCCAUGCCGCGUGCGGGAAGAAGGCCUUCGGGUUGUAAACCGCUUUUGUCAGGGAAGAAACGGUCUGCGCUAAUACCGCGGACUAAUGACGGUACCUGAAGAAUAAGCACCGGCUAACUACGUGCCAGCAGCCGCGGUAAUACGUAGGGUGCAAGCGUUAAUCGGAAUUACUGGGCGUAAAGCGUGCGCAGGCGGCUUUGCAAGACAGGUGUGAAAUCCCCGGGC
This 605-nucleotide ribosomal RNA is filed under the name uncultured bacterium. RNAcentral's name for it is "bacterial SSU rRNA". It matches the Rfam family "Bacterial small subunit ribosomal RNA", at positions 8 to 608 of the family's 1533-position model. The record is from RNAcentral.